Molecule: ribosomal RNA, 468 nt
Filed under: uncultured bacterium
Lineage: Bacteria
Description: partial 16S ribosomal RNA
Rfam family: Bacterial small subunit ribosomal RNA
Source: RNAcentral
GACGAACGCUGGCGGCGUGCUUAACACAUGCAAGUCGAACGGAAAGGCCCUGCUUUUGUGGGGUGCUCGAGUGGCGAACGGGUGAGUAACACGUGAGUAACCUGCCCUUGACUUUGGGAUAACUUCAGGAAACUGGGGCUAAUACCGGAUAGGAGCUCCUGCUGCAUGGUGGGGGUUGGAAAGUUUCGGCGGUUGGGGAUGGACUCGCGGCUUAUCAGCUUGUUGGUGGGGUAGUGGCUUACCAAGGCUUUGACGGGUAGCCGGCCUGAGAGGGUGACCGGCCACAUUGGGACUGAGGGACGGCCCAGACUCCUACGGGAGGCAGCAGUGGGGAAUAUUGCAGAAUGGGCGGAAGCCUGAUGCAGCAACGCCGCGUGCGGGAUGACGGCCUUCGGGUUGUAAACCGCUUUCGCCUGUGACGAAGCGGGAGUGACGGUAAUGGGUAAAGAAGCACCGGCUAACUACGUG